UACGGGGGGGGCAAGCGUUGUUCGGAAUUACUGGGCGUAAAGGGUGCGUAGGCGGUCCGCUAAGUUGGAUGUGAAAACUCUGGGCUUAACCCAGAGCCUGCAUUCAAAACUGACGGGCUAGAGUUCUGGAGGGGGUAGCGGAAUUCCUGGUGUAGCGGUGAAAUGCGUAGAUAUCAGGAGGAACACCGGUGGCGAAGGCGGCUACCUGGACCAUAACUGACGCUGAGGCGCGAAAGCUAGGGGAGCAAACAGG
This 253-nucleotide ribosomal RNA is filed under the name uncultured bacterium. RNAcentral's name for it is "partial 16S ribosomal RNA". It matches the Rfam family "Bacterial small subunit ribosomal RNA", at positions 524 to 776 of the family's 1533-position model. The record is from RNAcentral.